ACCUGACGUGGCCUGAAGAGACAGACAAUGGCUCUUGCUAGCUAAUUAUUGUCAGAUGGAUCGGCAGCCGACCAACGCUUCUGAAAUUAUUGUUUUUGGCAAAUGUUCCUCAACAUUUUCCUGGGAGCUAUGGUGCAUUACUCACGAGUGACAGAACCAACGAGCUUCAUCUCCCAAGAGGCUGGUGCAUCUGUUUAAAGGAGCAAGCGUUAUGCAGAGCCACCCCCACUCCACCCUCCAUGGCAGAGUGCAGUGGGGGAAGGGAUGGGAUUUCACCAUGUUGUCCAAGCUGGUUUUGAACUCCUGGGCUCAAGAAAUCCA
RNAcentral lists this long non-coding RNA (321 nucleotides) under Pongo abelii (Sumatran orangutan). RNAcentral's name for it is "lincRNA". Lineage: Eukaryota; Metazoa; Chordata; Mammalia; Primates; Hominidae. The record is from RNAcentral.